UCUUGAUGUUUCUUCUUCAUGAAAAGAGUGUCGGGAGCCAUGCUGCCUGGGCCACCGUGUUGCUGGGUGCAGCAGGCGGCUGCCUUGCUCUGUGGGGUGGGAUGGUGCAGCCUGCUCAGCAAGGGAGCCAGUGAAAGCUCCAUGAGUGGAGGGACGCUUGAGCAGUUGCGCAGCAGACUGAAGGCUCUGCACAAGGACCUCAAGGGCCAGCUCAGCCUUAGCAAUAAAAACAGCAAAACCCUGACUGGUGAACAAUAUUGAGCCAACCAUGGAUACCCAGAAGAAAUCUCGGGUCCCUCAUGGCAUAGAAGGACAUGUUGACUCAGUUCUUAGCAAUGAGAUGAAGUGAAAAUUUUCCUGCUAGGCUACCAGAAAAAAACUUUGUUUUCUGAUAAAAAGGGACAUAUUUAUCUGGUGUACACCUUCUCCCCUUCCAUCCUGCCUGGAAUGUGGCUGAGAGGUCUGGAGCAGCAGCAGCUACCUUGUGCAUGUGGAACAGCUGAUGUAACAGGAUACAGAAAGACAGCAAAAAUACAAGAGAACAAACUAUUCCCUUUGGCAUCAUAUGUUGUUUGUACCAGUCCUUGAUUGUCUAACUUCGAACUUCCCACUAAAAGAAAAAAUAAAUGCUUUUAUGUUAAGUUA
Macaca mulatta (Rhesus monkey) is the source of this 645-nucleotide non-coding RNA. The record is from RefSeq and is a predicted model, not a curated record. NCBI's taxonomy places the organism in Eukaryota, Metazoa, Chordata, Mammalia, Primates, Cercopithecidae.